This 1987-nucleotide unclassified non-coding RNA is filed under the name Dimorphilus gyrociliatus. RNAcentral's name for it is "dgyrCDS13100". The record is from RNAcentral. Lineage: Eukaryota; Metazoa; Annelida; Polychaeta; Dinophilidae.
UAUAUAGAUGUACAUCUAUAUAUGUAAAUUUAGAAGACACUUGUGUCAGGUGCUGUACAGUACAGUAUAGGUGUAUAGAUAUACAGAGAGAGCAGGUGAAAAAAAACAAAGACUGUGAAAAAAAAGGCUUUGAACGCUUUUAAUUGAUUGUAGGAUUUCUUUUGCUAGAUUCACACGGCAACUCAAAGAAGCAUCCUUCUGAGCAAAUUCAACAACAAAAGGAAAAACAGACUGAAGCCAACCCAGCCGACAGAGCUCCUUGUAACACAGAAGAACCUUCUUCUACACCUCAAGAAAAGAUCAAACCGCCUAUGAUAAGGCAGAUGUCUGGAGCCGAGAUUGCUUUCAACUUAAAAGAUGAGAAAGGGGAUGUCGUCCCUGUAGAAAUAGAUGGCAUAGAAGAGGAAGUUUGCGAAAGGACGCCAACACCAGAGAAGAAAGUCUCCAUACAGCAAAGGGUAUUAAAAGCCAGAAAUUCCGAACAGCAAAUGUCAAUUAUUGCGGUAAGGCUCGUUGCUGUAGCAACGAAUUAUAAGCAUAAAAAUCUAAAUGAGAUAAUUCAUAAAUGAAUGGCGAGAGACUAUAAAGUAAGAAACGCUUAUAUAGGAGAGUGAAUGAUGCAGAUGGUCCAGGCACACAGAAGCUAGAGUAGGGAGCUAGGAAAAGAGGUUGAGGGAAGAAGGGGUAGAGUGAUUUUCGGCUAUAUAGGCCAAACACUUCUAGUAUUACAUUGAUCAAAAGAUCAUGUAGAAAUAAGCUAAAUUCGUCAAAUAACGUGAGCAAUUUCUUUGUGAAGAGGAAGAAAAAAGGAAAAAUUCUUCUCUAUUAUUAAGUUUGAAAAAAACGAUUGAAAAGAAGAAAGAACUACGAAAGUCAAAAGUAUAUGAUCUCGAAAGACAAGCUCAAUAUACAGGGAUAGAAAAGAGAUAGUCUAGUCCAAAUGGACAGUUAAGUUUGAGAAGUGAAAAUGGGGCAAAGAGCUAGAUAGAUAGAUAGAUAGAUAGAUGGAUCGUUGGAUAUAGAAACACCGCGAGAGAGAGAGAGAGAGAGAGAGAGAGAGAGAGAGAGAGAAAGAAAGAGUGAAAGAGACAGAUAUAUAUACAGGCAGACAGAAAACAACGAAUGUGCUUUAUGAAGCUCUAGUAAAUCAGUCCAAUAUCAGAGGGAGAAAAUGUUAAAUAAAAAAAUUUCUGUUCGAUUGGCAUAGAAUAAAUUCGAAUGACUCAGAAUGUUAUAGCCGAACCGGAAAGACUUUGUAAAAUAACUUAGAAAGAGAUAAAAUUGAAGGCAUUUGUUAAUUCAAUCUUAAUUAUAUCUCAUUGAGUAUAAACGAAUACGAUUAAGUCCAAAAGGCGACAAAGACUGCUUCCUAACUCAAUGAAUCAAUGUAGAAAUAAAGGUAUAUAUUAUAUUAAUAUAUAUAAUAGUUCAAGGGACAUAGUACGCUUGGAGAGAGAGAAUUAUUAAGAGACAGACAGGCAGAGGGAUAACAAAUGUGCAAGUAUGCAGAUGCUGUAUAUAUGAGUGCGUGUGGGAGAGAUAGAAGAAGAAAGACAGAUACGAGAGGCUAUGAGACAAAGACAGCAGAAAGAAAAGUUGAUAUGAUCAUUGAUCUGCAGGAAUACUUUACAGAGCAACGCCUAAUUAAGCUUACGAAUAUUAAGAGUUUAAUGAAACAUUACUCUUCUAAUUAACUUGAUAUGCUUCUUACAUUUAUUUUUUACUAGGCAUCGAGAGAAAAUAGAAAACAGGAGUGGGUCGAGUUGCUAGACGAGCAUGCGCAGAUUGUUAAUGAAGUUAAUUGCCUAGAGGGCGUUGGCGAUAAAGAAAAUAUAAAUGGGCCGUCAGAUGGUGCUGCGCAGAUAUCUUGAAACUCCCAACGACUCUAGACCUCUGUACUUUUAGUGCCUUGUCUAGCAAGGUUCUGGAGUUGCUAAAAGCACUUGUCUUAAUUUGUGACAUUCCAGAUAUCGUUCUCGUGUUUUUU